CUAACGCUGGCAGUGCGUCUUAAGCAUGCAAGUCAAACGGGAUGUAGCAAUACAUCUAGUGGCGAACGGGUGAGUAACGCGUGGAUGAUCUACCUACGAGAUGGGGAUAACUAUUAGAAAUAGUAGCUAAUACCGAAUAAAGUCAAUUAAUUUGUUAAUUGAUGAAAGGAAGCCUUUAAAGCUUCGCUUGUAGAUGAGUCUGCGUCUUAUUAGCUAGUUGGUAGGGUAAAUGCCUACCAAGGCGAUGAUAAGUAACCGGCCUGAGAGGGUGAACGGUCACACUGGAACUGAGAUACGGUCCAGACUCCUACGGGAGGCAGCAGCUAAGAAUCUUCCGCAAUGGGCGAAAGCCUGACGGAGCGACACUGCGUGAAUGAAGAAGGUCGAAAGAUUGUAAAAUUCUUUUAUAAAUGAGGAAUAAGCUUUGUAGGAAAUGACAAAGUGAUGACGUUAAUUUAUGAAUAAGCCCCGGCUAAUUACGUGCCAGCAGCCGCGGUAAUACGUAAGGGGCGAGCGUUGUUCGGGAUUAUUGGGCGUAAAGGGUGAGUAGGCGGAUAUAUAAGUCUAUGCAUAAAAUACCACAGCUCAACUGUGGAACUAUGUUGGAAACUAUAUAUCUAGAGUCUGAUAGAGGAAGUUAGAAUUUCUGGUGUAAGGGUGGAAUCUGUUGAUAUCAGAAAGAAUACCGGAGGCGAAGGCGAACUUCUGGGUCAAGACUGACGCU
This 724-nucleotide ribosomal RNA is filed under the name uncultured Borreliella sp. RNAcentral's name for it is "bacterial SSU rRNA". It matches the Rfam family "Bacterial small subunit ribosomal RNA", at positions 30 to 747 of the family's 1533-position model. The record is from RNAcentral. Lineage: Bacteria; Pseudomonadati; Spirochaetota; Spirochaetia; Spirochaetales; Borreliaceae.